CCUACGGGCGGCAGCAGUGGGGAAUAUUGGACAAUGGGCGAAAGCCUGAUCCAGCCAUGCCGCGUGUGUGAAGAAGGCCUUCGGGUUGUAAAGCACUUUCAGUGGGGAAGAAAUCCUUGGGGCUAAUACCCUCGAGGAAGGACAUCACCCACAGAAGAAGCACCGGCUAACUCCGUGCCAGCAGCCGCGGUAAUACGGAGGGUGCGAGCGUUAAUCGGAAUUACUGGGCGUAAAGCGCGCGUAGGCGGUCUGAUAAGCCGGUUGUGAAAGCCCCGGGCUCAACCUGGGAACGGCAUCCGGAACUGUCAGGCUAGAGGGCAGGAGAGGAAGGUAGAAUUCCCGGUGUAGCGGUGAAAUGCGUAGAGAUCGGGAGGAAUACCAGUGGCGAAGGCGGCCUUCUGGACUGACACUGACGCUGAGGUGCGAAAGCGUUGGUAGCAAACAGGAUUAGAUACCCCUGUAGUC
RNAcentral lists this ribosomal RNA (465 nucleotides) under Vreelandella stevensii. Its description in RNAcentral is "partial 16S ribosomal RNA". It matches the Rfam family "Bacterial small subunit ribosomal RNA", at positions 338 to 795 of the family's 1533-position model. Lineage: Bacteria; Pseudomonadati; Pseudomonadota; Gammaproteobacteria; Oceanospirillales; Halomonadaceae. The record is from RNAcentral.